RNAcentral lists this small RNA (4150 nucleotides) under Pan troglodytes (chimpanzee). Its description in RNAcentral is "processed transcript". The record is from RNAcentral. Lineage: Eukaryota; Metazoa; Chordata; Mammalia; Primates; Hominidae.
ACAUUGUGCUUGUCCCAUCCGGUGCUCCGUAGUUAGCCUCUGUGAGCUCCACGUAGGCCGCGCAAGCGCCCUUGGCGGACAGUUCACCUGCUGCCGUUGUCGUCGCCGCCGCGGCUCCCGGGGCUGGAUGGGGGGCCGAAGCCAGCCAGUGGCACCCGGAAGAAAGAGACGCGGCGGCGGCGACGCCGACACCCUCAGGACGAGUGUCCGGACUUGCACACAGGCUCAAGGAGGAGACGGCGAGGCCCGGCCCCCGCUGUCCCUGGUGUAGAGAAGUCGCCGUAGCCGUCGCGGCCGGGACUCCCCGGGCUCUCGCCCCUCAGGUUUCGUUGACACUCAGGACGCUACGUACGCUGCGCCAUGUUCAAGAAACUGAAGCAAAAGAUCAGCGAGGAGCAGCAGCAGCUCCAGCAGGCGCUGGCCCCUGCUCAGAUGAAGGAGUGAGGCUCGAAGAGGUGAAGUAACUUGCCUAAUGUUACGCAGCUAGUGUUAGAGUCUUCAGAAAAGUAUUAACGCAGAAAGAUAUUCGUGUUAAAAGACAGAAGCAGCAGGUGUUGGAGUUCUUAGUUGUAAGCAACAAAAAGUCAAUCUAGGUAAGCAGAAAAAGAAUUUAUUGAAGACUCUUUACGCUACAGAAUUUCCCUGAGGUCCCAAAAGUCUGAGCUGAUUGCUACGUCCAGUUAUACUGGGGAGACUACUCUGUGUUGCAGCUGCUUCAGCUUGGCACCAGCAUUGCAUCUGUCACUUCACAGCUUAUAUUUGCGUGGGUGCAUGAAGUUCUGUCUCCAUUGUCAUCAGAUGAUGAACUUUAUUUGUAUGUCUGUUUUUUCACAUCACUCACUUAUGACUCGAAGUCUCGUGUUUCAUUGAUGGAGCUCAGGUUACCCUGUCUCAGAUAAAAAGAAGAUUGGGUUAGUAAGUUUUCUGAGUUCUAACUUACGGACUUAUAAGAGCUGUUUAUAGAAAAAAGGUUAUUAAACUUUUGUCAUAUUUGUAGAUGCUUUUCCUCACCUCCCAAUUAAACUGCUGCUUUGAUUUGUUUUUCACAUAAAAAUCUCUUUCCCAUUCAGAGAUUGUAGAAAUAGACUCUUGAAUUUUUUGUAUUUCAAUAAAAAAAAUUAAAUCUUUAAUAUAGCUUAAGUAUGAAGGAUCUGAUUUCUGUGUCUUGCCCCAUAUGGAUGGCCAGUUGUCCCAACAUUUAUUGAAUGUCUAUCCUGAUGCAAAAUGUUACUUUUAUCAUAAGCUAGAUAUGUAUAUGUCUGUCUGGAUGUAUAUAUGUGUAUAUAGAGUAUGUGUAUAUUUGUAUACUAUUCCUCACGACCUCUCAGUUCCACCCUAACCACAGCAGUUUGUGCACAGAUACCACAGACCAGAGUUCCAUUUGUUUAUUCAUUCAUUCAUUUAUUUGACAAAUAUUUAUUAACUGCCUUUUGUAAAGUGCAGACUACAAAAAGAGGCUUCCUCCAAUUCUUCAACACCAACAAGAACGAGGAGCAGGACAUCUUCAUUUACAGAGCAACUUGAUGAAGAGAAUCCCUGAAUCGACUUGACCUGGACAGUUCUACUGCCAGUUUUGAUCCACCCUCUGAUAUGGAUAGCGAGGCUGAAGACUUGGUAGGAAAUUCAGACAGUCUCAACAAAGAACAGUUGAUUCAGCGGUUGCGAAGAAUGGAACGAAGCUUAAGUAGCUACAGAGGAAAAUAUUCUGAGCUUGUUACAGCUUAUCAGAUGCUUCAGAGAGAGAAGAAAAAGCUACAAGCAUUUUGGUAUAUUUAGUUCUAGCCUCUUUCCUGUGAAGAAACUGAGGGAGAGUGACUCGUUCAUUGUUGCACAGCUUGUUAAGAGGGUAUAUUAAGUCAGAGUCAGGAUAAAUCACUUCGGAGAAUAGCAGAAUUAAGAGAGGAGCUCCAAAUGGACCAGCAGGCAAAGAAACAUCUGCAAGAGGAGUUUGAUGCAUCUUUAGAGGAGAAAGAUCAGUAUAUCAGUGUUCUCCAAACUCAGGUUUCUCUGCUGAAACAACGAUUACGAAAUGGCCCGAUGAAUGUUGAUGUACUGAAACCACUUCCUCAGCUGGAACCACAGGCUGAAGUCUUCACUAAAGAAGAGAAUCCAGAAAGUGAUGUAGAGCCAGUAGUGGAAGAUGGAACUUCUGUUAAAACACUGGAAACACUCCAGCAAAGAGUGAAGCGUCAAGAGAACCUACUUAAGCGUUGUAAGGAAACAAUUCAGUCACAUAAGGAACAAUGUACACUAUUAACUAGUGAAAAAGAAGCUCUGCAAGAACAACUGGAUGAAAGACUUCAAGAACUAGAAAAGAUAAAGGACCUUCAUAUGGCCGAGAAGACUAAACUUAUCACUCAGUUGCGUGAUGCAAAGAACUUAAUUGAACAGCUUGAACAAGAUAAGGGAAUGGUAAUCGCAGAGACAAAACGUCAGAUGCAUGAAACCCUGGAAAUGAAAGAAGAAGAAAUUGCUCAACUCCGUAGUCGCAUCAAACAGAUGACUACCCAGGGAGAGGAAUUACGGGAACAGAAAGAAAAGUCCGAAAGAGCUGCUGCCAUAGGUUGAAGUUCCCACAUUUCUUAUACCACUGGAAGUGAAAAUAUUAUAUAUGUCGGUGAACAACUGUCUCCCUGGGACAUACGUUUCUUGCUUUUGAGGAACUUGAAAAAGCUUUGAGUACAGCCCAAAAAACAGAGGAAGCACGGAGAAAACUGAAGGCAGAAAUGGAUGAACAAAUAAAAACUAUUGAAAAAACAAGUGAGGAGGAACGCAUCAGUCUUCAACAGGAAUUAAGUCGGGUGAAACAGGAGGUUGUUGAUGUAAUGAAAAAAUCCUCAGAAGAACAAAUUGCUAAGCUACAGAAGCUUCAUGAAAAGGAGCUGGCCAGAAAAGAGCAGGAACUGACCAAGAAGCUUCAGACCCGAGAAAGGGAAUUUCAGGAGCAAAUGAAAGUAGCUCUUGUAAGUGCCUAUUUUUUUUUUCUGCUAUAGGUAUACUUCUCAGAGUUACAAAGUUAUCAUCCUCUCACUGUUGCAUUCCAGUUGGAAGUCAGACUACUGGCAGUCUUGACAUUUGGGUAUAAAGAGAGGAUAGAGAGUAGGCAAGCUGUCAGAGCUUAUUAGCUUGGUAUUGUGUGAAAAUUAAAUUUACUGAUCUAACACACUUUCUUUUUUUUAUGAGAUAGAGUCUCGCUCUGUUGCCUAGGCUAGAGUGCAGUGGUGAGAUCUUGGCUUGCUGUAACCUCCAUAAUCUCCAUCUCCGUGGUUCAAGUGAUUCCCCUGCCUCAGCUUCCCAAGUAGCUGGGACUACAGGUGCACACCACCAAGUUCGGCUAAUUUUUAUUUUUUUAUUUUUGUAUUUUUAGUAGAGAUGGGGUUUCACCAUGUUGGCCAGGCUGGUCUUGAACUCCUGACCUCAAGUGAUCCACCCACAUUGGCCUCCCAAAGUGUUGGGAUUACAGGCGUAAGCCACCGCGCUUGGCCACACUUUCUUUUUAAAACAUUUAAAAAAUUUUAACAAUUUCUUUCAAUAUUUAUAUUUCUCUUUCAUUGUCGAUGUUCAGUAUAACCAACACACUUUCAUUAAGCAGUUUGUUUAUCCAUCCCUCCCACCUGGCAGUAGGCUAUGAUUAGGGACAAAAAAAGGAAAAGAUAGAUUAAUUGAAGCAGUGACUGCAUAAUUCAAGAAGAGAGUGCAUAAUUCAAGAAGAAUGUCGAAAAUCUCAUCAGACUGAGUGUACCCAGAGCUCAAGGCUGAGAAAAUUUUGGCUGACUUGCAUUUUACAGAAGAAGAAAUAAAAAUGGCCAAGUAAUUUUUAUUUUAAGUGGAAUAAUUUCAGUACUAAUUUUCAGUCCAUACGAUGGCUUAAAAAAGAGUUAAAUUAAAAAACUUCCUGAACUAACAAAAACAACCAGAAAGCAGAUUGAGAUUUUUGUUGAAAGAUUUUUUAAAAUAGCAUAAUUUGAAAGUUUAAAACAAAAAAUAUUUUUCUUCACUUAUGAAAGCCUUUUAUAUAAGUUGCCAUAAAAAAGUGUUAGUGACAAAAAUGUAAUUUGUUUUUGUAUGAAAUUAUUAUCCGUAAGAUAAUAUGUGUAACUCAAAAAUGCUUUCCGUGUAAAAGGAUAAUAAAUAGUAUUUUAGAUUUUAA